This 254-nucleotide ribosomal RNA is filed under the name uncultured bacterium. RNAcentral's name for it is "partial 16S ribosomal RNA". It matches the Rfam family "Bacterial small subunit ribosomal RNA", at positions 524 to 776 of the family's 1533-position model. The record is from RNAcentral.
UACGUAGGGACCAAGCGUUGUUCGGAUUUACUGGGCGUAAAGGGCGCGUAGGCGGCGCGGUAAGUCACUUGUGAAAUCUCUGAGCUUAACUCAGAACGGCCAAGUGAUACUGCAGUGCUAGAGUGCAGAAAGGGCAAUCGGAAUUCUUGGUGUAGCGGUGAAAUGCGUAGAUAUCAAGAGGAACACCUGAGGCGAAGGCAGGUUGCUAGGCUGACACUGACGCUGAGUGCGCGAAAGCCAGGGGAGCAAACGGG